Molecule: unclassified non-coding RNA, 272 nt
Filed under: uncultured fungus
Lineage: Eukaryota; Fungi
Description: sequence contains ITS1, 5.8S rRNA gene
Rfam family: 5.8S ribosomal RNA (bases 224-272)
Source: RNAcentral
UUUCCGUAGGUGAACCUGCGGAAGGAUCAUUAAUGAAUUGUGAAGGAGGUUGAGCUGGUUCUCUUUGGGAAUAUGUGCUUGCCUCUGACAAUCCUUAUCCAUACACCUGUGCACCUUUGAGAAGGGGGGAGGGUCUGAUGAUCUUUCCUCCUUUUCUUUUUCACAAACCCCAUAUUCUAAUCUUGAACGUGAAUUGUGCCCAAAGGCCUUUAAUCAUAAAUACAACUUUUAACAACGGAUCUCUUGGCUCUCGCAUCGAUGAAGAACGCAGC